CCCUUCCAACCCUUCGUAAAAACAGUGAUAAAUGUCAUUACAAUGUGCGGACUAAAAACAACCUUGUCGAAGACUACUAUCGGACGGUAAAAGGACGAGACAUUAACUAUUUCAUGAAGAAAUGUUACAAUACUCUUCCUGACUACAUCAGGGAUCUGGAAGAACAACAAUUCAGAAAAACAACCAGAGUGUUCCUUGGUGCCAAAGCAUUCUAUAGCAUCGAUGAGUACUUGAACUACAAGUUUGAUGGCUCCGAAUAAUAAAGUGGCAAUUGUGCUUCCCUAUACUGUGACGUGUGGAAAUAUUUUCUGUAUAAACCCCACCAAUAAAUAUUAUUAUUAUUAUUAUUAUUAUUAUGAAGAUGAAUUUGGUUAUCUACAUUUCAAGUACAUGGCUAUGAAUUUCUCGAGGAAUGCCUAGAAUAUGCCAAAGGCGAUAGGAAACUGUUUCCCAAUAACUUUACAGACCAAUUAUUGACCUAUAGUAGAGAGAGAGUUGGGUGCUGAACGAAUCACAAAAAACCAGACUACAAGCUACUGAAAUGAAGUACUUGCGAAGGGUACGGGGGGUUGGUGGAAUUCCUAGUAAGAUUAUAAAAAAAGAAGUGGAUGCUCUGAUAGAGACAUUUGAUAGACAAAAAUUAAAACGCUUAUUUGGACGCCUUGGAGGAAUGGAAAACAGUCAGCUUGCGAAACCGUACAUAUGGAACACUGGAAUUCAAAAUAGGAAGAAAAGGGGAAGCAUAAAGACAAUAUGGGAUAUGCACCUAAGUAGCAAGAAUACUUCAACAUCAAAGCAUAGAAUGGGAGGAGGCUAAUGGUGCCUCUAGACUAGAAAGAAAUGAAGUCAACUAUUUAUCAUUUUUACGGACUUACUUUAAGUGUAAAUAUGCGAAUAAAAUUUAUAUUAUCGUUGCGACAUUAUUCAACAGCUAAAGUGGUUUGAAUUUGCAAGUACAGAAAUAUCGGGCGAUCAAAAAUGAGGUGCUGUCGAGUCGCCUUUGGAAGUUCAAUUUAAGGUCAAUAGUAUACUUGAAAGAAUGGGAGAAAACCCGAAAGGAGAUUGAGAUACAAACUCACAAUUCCGAGCAGGUUUUCCAUGUUUGUGAAUUUCCUCCAUUUAAGAAACACCUACUGAAAUAAAAUAAAUGUACGUUGCAGCGUUGAGUUUGAACUAGUAUUACAAGAUAAAUUGAUCCGGAUCGUUCCAACAGGUUGUGAAGGUAAAGAAUUUUUACAUCUGCUACCGAUUAUUGGCAUUGGACGGUAAUAAAAAUCUACCUUAUACUCCAAAAGUCUACGAUGCGGAUGUUGUUAUAUUUACGAGGAAGGUAGU
Photinus pyralis (common eastern firefly) is the source of this 1335-nucleotide long non-coding RNA. RefSeq lists it as uncharacterized. The record is from RefSeq and is a predicted model, not a curated record. Lineage: Eukaryota; Metazoa; Arthropoda; Insecta; Coleoptera; Lampyridae. The transcript has 3 exons.